RNAcentral lists this ribosomal RNA (253 nucleotides) under uncultured bacterium. Its description in RNAcentral is "partial 16S ribosomal RNA". It matches the Rfam family "Bacterial small subunit ribosomal RNA", at positions 524 to 776 of the family's 1533-position model. The record is from RNAcentral.
UACGGAGGGGACUAGCGUUGUUCGGAAUUACUGGGCGUAAAGCGCGCGUAGGCGGAUUUGCAAGUCGGGGGUGAAAGCCCGAGGCUCAACCUCGGAACUGCCCUCGAUACUGCAAAUCUCGAGUCCGAGAGAGGUGAGUGGAAUUCCUAGUGUAGAGGUGAAAUUCGUAGAUAUGGGGAGGAACACCGGUGGCGAAGGCGGCCAUCUGGACGGCUAUUGACGCUGAGACGCGAAAGCGUGGGGAGCAAACAGG